Molecule: ribosomal RNA, 253 nt
Filed under: uncultured bacterium
Lineage: Bacteria
Description: partial 16S ribosomal RNA
Rfam family: Bacterial small subunit ribosomal RNA
Source: RNAcentral
UACGGAGGGAGCUAGCGUUGUUCGGAAUUACUGGGCGUAAAGCGCACGUAGGCGGCUUUUUAAGUCAGGGGUGAAAUCCCGGGGCUCAACCUCGGAACUGCCCUUGAAACUGGGAAGCUAGAAUCUUGGAGAGGCGAGUGGAAUUCCGAGUGUAGAGGUGAAAUUCGUAGAUAUUCGGAAGAACACCAGUGGCGAAGGCGACUCGCUGGACAAGUAUUGACGCUGAGGUGCGAAAGCGUGGGGAGCAAACAGG